This 862-nucleotide ribosomal RNA is filed under the name uncultured bacterium. Its description in RNAcentral is "bacterial SSU rRNA". It matches the Rfam family "Bacterial small subunit ribosomal RNA", at positions 60 to 914 of the family's 1533-position model. The record is from RNAcentral.
AGUCGAGCGGCAACAGAGAGAAGCUUGCUUCUUUGCUGGCGAGCGGCGGACGGGUGAGUAAAAUCUGGGGAUCUGCCUAAAGGAGGGGGAUAACUGUUGGAAACGAUAGCUAAUACCCUAUAAUGUCGCAAGACCAAAGUGGGGACUUGUUCCUCAUGCCAUUAGAUGAACCCAGACGAGAUUAGCUAGCAGGUAGGGUAAAGGCCUACCUGGGCAACGAUCUCUAGCUGGUCUGAGAGGAUGACCAGCCACACUGGAACUGAGACACGGUCCAGACUCCUACGGGAGGCAGCAGUGGGGAAUAUUGCACAAUGGGCGAAAGCCUGAUGCAGCCAUGCCGCGUGUAUGAAGAAGGCCUUAGGGUUGUAAAGUACUUUCAGCGGGGAAGAAAAAAAAAUAUCCUAAUAAGAUUUUUAUUGACGUUACUCGCAGAAGAAGCACCGGCUAACUCCGUGCCAGCAGCCGCGGUAAUACGGGGGGUGCUAGCGUUAAUCGGAAUUACUGGGCGUAAAGCGCACGCAGGUGGUUUAUUAAGUCAGAUGUGAAAUCCCUAAGCUUAACUUAGGAACUGCAUUUGAAACUGACAAACUAGAGUUUCGUAGAGGGAGGUAGAAUUCCAGGUGUAGCGGUGAAAUGCGUAGAUUUCUGGAGGAAUACCAGUGGCGAAGGCGACCUCCUGGACGAAAACUGACACUCAUGUGCGAAAGCAUAGGUAGCAAACAGGAUUAGAUACCCUGGUAGUCUAUGCUGUAAACGAUGUCAACUUGGAAACUGUACUUAUAAAGUGUGGGUUCCGUAGCUAACGCGUUAAGUUGACCGCCUGGGGAGUACGACCGCAAGGUUAAAACUCAAAUGAAUUGAC